RNAcentral lists this long non-coding RNA (633 nucleotides) under Nicotiana benthamiana. RNAcentral describes it as "long non-coding RNA (NBEN_LNC042305)". Lineage: Eukaryota; Viridiplantae; Streptophyta; Magnoliopsida; Solanales; Solanaceae. The record is from RNAcentral.
UGGACAAUAAGCACUGAAUAAUAUUCCCAAAAUAACAUUAAGACGAACAUAGAACAAAAUGAACAGGAAAUGAAGAAUCGGACCUUAAUGGCAAAAAUUCUUUCCAAAUUAAAGAAAGCUUCGGACUUAAUGUUUUGUCCAAACGAAGACCAACAACAUUCAACAACAAAAUCGAGUAUCAAUCAGAAGAAAUCAACAAAAACGUGAAUCAAAACCCGAACCGGAAACCUCGUCGAAUUUGGAACAGACUGCCUUCAAUAGUGACCACCACAUGAUUUAAUGGCAAUCUCGUCGUCUUCCGGCGAGCUGGGAAGCGGCCUGAGAUUAUCGUUCACCCUGUCGAGUAGUAAAAAUAUCCGUCACCGGAGAUCAAUACCGAUGACAAUGGUGGUGGGAUGGGAUAGCAGCAGUAAAAGUGGAUGACAUGUUUUGUGAUUUUGAGCCGGAGUCGUUCGUGUGAGUUGCUGCUGCUGAGUUUUCAGGGGUGUCGUUGAGAUGCAGACCCGAUGGGGUUUUGUCUGUAGCUGUGGAGAUUUGGAGAUUGGGGUUGUUGGUUUCAGGGGCUGCUGUUUUUUGUUUAGGAUUUUGAAGAAGAUGACUAAGGGGAGGGGUUGUUUGGAGUAGAUGAAGCCA